This is a long non-coding RNA of Salvia hispanica, 807 nucleotides long. RefSeq lists it as uncharacterized. NCBI's taxonomy places the organism in Eukaryota, Viridiplantae, Streptophyta, Magnoliopsida, Lamiales, Lamiaceae. The record is from RefSeq and is a predicted model, not a curated record.
AUUGUGCCUUAUCACAUACAAGUCAGAAAAGCUGUGACCUCCUCUGCGCCACCAAACCGCCGUCGCCGGUCACCAACUCCAUCCAUGGCUCAUGCUGAUAAUUCAAAGUCCAACAAUUCGGAGCAGCGACCCUAUCUUCGGCUCGAUCCUCCGAAAUUCAACGGAGACGACCCAUGGGGAUGGACUUUCAAGGUUGACAUGUAUUUCGACUAUUACGGAAUGUCGGAAGAGCAUCGUCUACACUUUGUCGGACUACUCUUCGAGCAGCCGGCGCUGGAUUGGCUCAUUUACCGAAAAAAAACACAAUUAGCUGAAAUCAUGGCCUGGUUUCAUGGAGGCGGUGAAAGAGAGGUUUGAUCCAACAUAUCAUGACAAUCACUUAGGGAAACUCUGCAAGCUGCAGCAACUCAACACGGUGAUGGAAUAUCAGACCGAGUUCGAGAGGCUUUUGGUCAAGAUUAAGGGUGCAUCGCUAUCGGAGAGUCACCUUGUCUCCAUAUGUGAAUCGGGCUUCAAAGAUGCUAUUCGAUGGGAACUACACUUGCGAAAGCCGUCGUCCUUGUGUGAAAUGUUUGCGCCUGCGCGCGAAUUCGAGAAGAUGUACGAUGAAGGCUUCAAGUGAGAGAGGUAUGUUUUGGUUGUUUUAUUUGUUUUGAGUUGAAUUUUGUGGGGAUUGAAUAUAUUUGCAGUUGUUUCCAAUUAUAAUUAGAAGUUGAAGUUGGAUAUAAUUCUUAUAAGAUUGAAUUUAUCUUUUUGUUUCAAUUUGUAAUAGGAUUUUUGUUGUCUAGGCUUUAUUGUUAGUUUGAA